Molecule: ribosomal RNA, 56 nt
Filed under: Mammillaria candida
Lineage: Eukaryota; Viridiplantae; Streptophyta; Magnoliopsida; Caryophyllales; Cactaceae
Description: partial 18S ribosomal RNA
Source: RNAcentral
UUGGAAGUAAAAGUCGUAACAAGGUUUUUAUAGCUGAACCUGCAGAAGGAUCAUUG